CUUUUAUUACCUAUUAUUUCCUUCCUUAAGUAGAUUGUAAAACAGUCUAUAAAUAGAGACUGUAAUCACAUUUGUAAGACACAUCAGAAAUACAUUCCUUCUAUUUCUUUCUAUUCCUUUCAACUUGGUAUCAGAGCUCCUGAUCUGGGAGACUCUGUUUCUACAAUUUUUUGGCAGCCUUCAUUGCUGCAAAUACUUUUCUAGGCAGCCUU
Molecule: long non-coding RNA, 212 nt
Filed under: Phaseolus vulgaris (common bean)
Lineage: Eukaryota; Viridiplantae; Streptophyta; Magnoliopsida; Fabales; Fabaceae
Description: long non-coding RNA (PVUL_LNC001677)
Source: RNAcentral